Molecule: long non-coding RNA, 2703 nt
Filed under: Chelonus insularis
Lineage: Eukaryota; Metazoa; Arthropoda; Insecta; Hymenoptera; Braconidae
Description: uncharacterized LOC118064085
Source: RNAcentral
UUUUUUCUGGAUAGUUCCGAAUCACUCGGGGAACGAAUUGCGACUGGGCAAUCUUGGGAACUGCUCUACAAUCAACACAACUGAAUAUAAAUUAUUCCAUAUCUGGGAUUUUAUUUUACCGAUAUAACUGUCAACAGUUCAUAGUUUGAAGAUAACCUCUCACAAAUAUAUGCAGGAUUGGGUUCAUUAGGAGAUUUUUCAUUCCAAUUGGGUUUUCCUAACAUUGUGUUUUCCUUACUACUGAUAUGAUAAUGUAUAGUUAUUUUACAUACAGCCAUAAUUGUGUUUUGCUCUUUAUGCACUAUUAUUUUUGUUAUUGUAACAAAUUAUGAUAUAUGGAUUAAGCAUAAUGCUAGGCCGAAAAUAAACAUACAUCAGUCUUCUGUUUCAGGACCUGGGAAGGCUAUAGGCUUCCCGAAGCCGUGAUGUGUUUUUUAUAAAACGGUGUGGCCGAAAAUUGGAGUAUCAAUAUCUCGAAAACUAAACGAGAUAUUAAAAAAUUUUAUUCUUCAUUUUUUACUAAGGGGUCCCAACACAUGAAUGACGUGAUACACAUGUAUAUAUACAACAUACGAAUUGUACUUGUGCCGAAUUCAAGUAAACUGUGACCAUGCAUGAUCAUCAGGACUGGCUAUCGGGGCACUUCAGUGUUUAUUGGUUAUUGAUAGAGAUGUUACCGGACAAAAAUGUAACUCGACAGAGAUUGAGCGAACCCUAAAGGAGUAAUGAUGACUCAACCGGAUACAACUCUAUCGUAACAAUUGUAUUGAUACAACUCUAUCAGAGACAACAAUGUUAUUUACAAAUAGUGACGAUUGUUUAGUGAAUUUAAUUCUUUUCUCGGUGAUGAAAGUGAUGUAUUCAGUGGAUUAAUUUUUUGUAUUUUUUCUUACGGAAUGGCUCAAUUUUUCAUUUAAGAUGCAAAAUUCAAAAAAGAGUCAUUCAUAAUUCAUUUUUUAAUUGGACUAUGGUUCUAUAACUAUAAAACGGCAACCAUUGGAAAGUAUGAAUCUUUUUUAAAUUAUACCUUGAAUUAUGGCAUAGUUGACCGUAAGAAUUAAAAAUCUAAUAACUGAUUUACGAUAUUCAACCGAAAACUGUAGCCGCUGAAUUUAGAAAUGCAUGUCUUUAAAAUAAACUCGUAUUUUUGUACAAGUUGGAUUAGAUGAAGGAUGCAAACUCUUAGUAAGACUUCAACCAGUACUGUUGUAGGCAUCUAACUCUAGCAUAAUAUCGAUAAUAAUAAAUUUAAUGGCGUGUGGAUGGCUUCUUCAGAAUAUAUUGACAAUAUUAACGGUAACUUACAAGGAAAAUGAUUUGACGUCCAACUUCUAACCGAAAAUGAAAAAACAUCUACUCUAAUGAUAUCUAAGAAAUCAAGAAGAUAUGAUAUUGAUCAUUCGGAAUGGAUAAUGCUAUUAUGGUAAGAACUUAUUUGGAUUAGUAUCAAACAAAAGAACAAAUAGUUGCUUAACUUUGUGACUUAACUAUUAAUGCAUAGUUAAAAGUUAGUAUAUCAAAAGACCUACUACUUAAAUUUUAAAAAAUUGAAAAAGAGUAGCUUUUCAUUUAUUACAACGGCUUCAGUGAUGAACCCCAUUUCAGAAGAGCUUGAAGCUAUUUCUGUUUUUGAAUAAAAAAUUUACUGAUUUACCUUCGCCAAUCUGUAGUUGUGUUGUAAAGGACUAGCAAAGAAAUUACACAGACCAGCACGACCACGACUAUUGUUUCAUUUUGUCCCGAGGAUGCAAGGAUUUUAUAAAUAAGUAACUUAUUCAUACAAGUAAAUAAUUACACAUAAUUGAAAAAUAUGUAAUACUUUAAUUACUAUAUGUUAUAAACUUAUUCUAUUUCGCCUUAUGAACUAUCGAUAUCAAUUAUACUACGGAUGUAGGUUAAUGAUAUUAUUCUAUUCGAUAUACUUAAAUAUACCCGUUUCAGAACUAGUAAAAUUCACUGUAAACUUACAUUAACAAUUAAGAAAGACACAUAAUACUAGUAAGACAUGGUUACUCUUUAUUUCUAUGAAUUAAAAACGAACUAACAACUACUACAGAAGCUUUAAAAAUACUUUGAAGGCUGCAAUUAUUUGUUUGGAUCCUGAAUGUGCUAAGACUAGCAAGUAGGAUUUUUAGCUCUGCAUGGAAAAAUGUGAGUGUCAUACAAAAUUUAAGUGACAACGAUUAGAGCUGGGUAAGCUUAAAAACAAGCCCUGUCUAGUGCUGCUGUAUCUAGUAUGACAGGAUAUAUAAUGCUUUGCAGAAUUUGAAGUGAAAUUUUAUGGCGAACAAAAUACUUAUCUAAUGUAAAUUAAUCAUAAUCAAGGUGUUAAAUAUAAGAGCUUUUUGGAUUUUUUUGAUGAAUAAAGAAUAAAAAUCUUAUGAUGAGCUUACACUAUCAGAUAAAAAGUAGGUGAGAUCAUUGUUGGAGAUCUAGAACACAGCUAAAAAAACAUACAAAGGAUUUCAACAAGGAUCUGCAGUUUCUUUCACUUAUUCUUAUGAAAAUCAUAAAUACAUGCUUUGCUUCUAAUAGUACAAAGUUGCCCAACGUUGGUCUAGAGACCGAGGAUUUGCCAGUACUUGGAACAAUUACGUACGUCAUUCUGAAAUACAAUGGUUGAUUAAUUCAUUCAUUAAUUCAUAUUUUGUUGUAGCAAAAAGAUGUAAAAUGGAAAAAUUGUGUAUUUUUGAAAAUUUUUUU